UUCUUGGUGGUCUAGUGGUUAAGGAUUCAGUGUUGUCACUACCAUGACUCAGGUUCGAUCCCUGACCUAGGAA
This 73-nucleotide transfer RNA is filed under the name Sus scrofa (pig). It matches the Rfam family "tRNA". From Rfam's summary of the family: Transfer RNA (tRNA) molecules are approximately 80 nucleotides in length. Their secondary structure includes four short double-helical elements and three loops (D, anti-codon, and T loops). The record is from Rfam by way of RNAcentral. Lineage: Eukaryota; Metazoa; Chordata; Mammalia; Artiodactyla; Suidae.